GAUGAACGCUGGCGGUAUGCUUAACACAUGCAAGUCGAACGGACUCUUCGGAGUUAGUGGUGGACGGGUGCGUAACGCGUGAGAAUCUGGCUUUGGGUUCGGGGCAACCACUGGAAACGGUGGCUAAUACCGGAUGUGCCGAGAGGUAAAAGAGAAAUUGCCUGAAGAUGAGCUCGCGUCUGAUUAGCUAGUUGGUGAGGUAAAGGCUCACCAAGGCAGCGAUCAGUAGCUGGUCUGAGAGGAUGACCAGCCACACUGGGACUGAGACACGGCCCAGACUCCUACGGGAGGCAGCAGUGGGGAAUUUUCCGCAAUGGGCGAAAGCCUGACGGAGCAAUACCGCGUGAGGGAAGAAGGCUCUUGGGUUGUAAACCUCUUUUCUUAGGGAAGAACAAAAUGACGGUACCUAAGGAAUCAGCAUCGGCUAACUCCGUG
RNAcentral lists this ribosomal RNA (435 nucleotides) under uncultured bacterium. RNAcentral describes it as "partial 16S ribosomal RNA". It matches the Rfam family "Bacterial small subunit ribosomal RNA", at positions 28 to 507 of the family's 1533-position model. The record is from RNAcentral.